Molecule: long non-coding RNA, 378 nt
Filed under: Monodelphis domestica (gray short-tailed opossum)
Lineage: Eukaryota; Metazoa; Chordata; Mammalia; Didelphimorphia; Didelphidae
Description: lncRNA (ENSMODG00000040238.1)
Source: RNAcentral
UCUCACUUUCAGGACAAAAUGUGAUUCAUUCUUUGCCAAGCAGCAGAAAUCACCAAGGAAUAGAGCUGGGCUUAUUGGCAAGAUGGAGUUGGCAUCUUUUAUAGCCUGCACAAAAAGAAGCAUUCCCAGCCCACAUCUGGAACUUUUAUGAAUCAACAAGAUGAUGCUUUCCACAGAGACCUCUCCCCUUCAGGAUAAAAUGAGCCUUUGCUUCCAACAACCAGAGGAGACGAUUGGGCCACUGUGAUUGUUUAUCAAGAUAAUUUCUUCAGCUCAUCCUGGGUAAAGAAGAAGGAUUUCUGUUCAUGAAGCAUGAAAAUGAACCCAUUCCAUAAUUUUAAAUGAUACCUUGGAGGUUUCUAAGAGUAUGGCAGAAAC